AGUGGACGCGAGCAUCUUUUGUGGCCAAGUUGUUUAGGGCGCACGGUGGAUGCCUUGGCACCAGGAGCCGAUGAAGGACGUGGGAGGCUGCGUUAAGCCUCGGGGAGUCGCCAGCCAGACGUUGAUCCGGGGAUGUCCGAAUGGGGAAACCUGGCACCAGUCAUGUGGUGUCGCCGCCGUCUGAAUGUAUAGGGCGGUUGGUGGUAACGCGGG
Molecule: ribosomal RNA, 213 nt
Filed under: Spongiactinospora rosea
Lineage: Bacteria; Bacillati; Actinomycetota; Actinomycetes; Streptosporangiales; Streptosporangiaceae
Description: Sphaerisporangium sp. LHW63015 partial 23S ribosomal RNA
Rfam family: Bacterial large subunit ribosomal RNA (bases 23-213)
Source: RNAcentral